AUGAGAAACUACAGUCAUCAUCUAAAAUUUGUCCUUUGUCUAGUCCUCCGAAGGCGGCGGCCCGUUCAGAUCCAGAUCAAACGUGACCGCCUUAUGCGCUGUCACCGCGGGGGGCGACGGGGACAGAUCAACGACCGACGAGGAGUCGGAGUCGCUCUGGGCAACGGCCGCCACGGUGACCGGCUGCGCCACCUUCAGCGCGCGAUACCCCGACGCCGCCGCCGCGGCGGCCGCGGCCUGUUCGUAGAAGAAGUACGGGUGCAGAGGCUGGCGCGAUGCCACCGGGUAACCGUUGAACGGGAAGCGCAUGCCGCCGCCGGCGACGGCCGUCACGGCCGCCGCGCGGUGGAAGAGGUCCAGGUCGAGGGCGGGCGGCAGCGGGAUGGCCUGCAUGGGCGCCUGGGCGCAGCCGCCGCUCCCUCCCCCGCUAGAGUCCAAGGUGCUGUUGCUGCUCGGGCUGCCGCCGCCGGCGACAGGGGACGACGACGACGACGAAGGGAACGGGAAGUUAGUUUUCGCCUUGGCGCCGCGGAACUCGCGCGCGGCGGUGUCGUAGGCGCGCGCGGCCUCCUCCGCCGUAUCGUACGUGCCGAGCCAGACCCUGCUCUUCUUGGCCGGGUCACGGAUCUCCGCGGCGUAACGUCCCCAUGGGCGCUUCCGGACGCCCCUGUAGUGCGCGCCACCGGCGACGACUCCGACCCCGCCGCCAACGCCAAGGCCGAGCCUGGUGGGCGGGGAGACAGGCGCCUUCUCCGCCGCUCUAGGCGCCAUGGGUGCAGCAGGUGUACAAGUGGCGUGCGCGUAUCUUUUUGGUUAUUCGGGCGUUUUGGUGAUGCAGGGGGGUGGGGUGGGUGUGUAGCGCCCAGGAUAAGGCGAGGAGGGGGACGGGCAUUUAUAGAUGGACGGGGGGUUAAAAAAGGGAAGUGA
RNAcentral lists this ribosomal RNA (927 nucleotides) under Triticum aestivum (bread wheat). RNAcentral describes it as "partial small subunit ribosomal RNA". The record is from RNAcentral. Lineage: Eukaryota; Viridiplantae; Streptophyta; Magnoliopsida; Poales; Poaceae.